CCUACGGGGGGCAGCAGUGGGGAAUAUUGCGCAAUGGGGGAAACCCUGACGCAGCCAUGCCGCGUGAGUGAAGAAGGCCUUCGGGUUGUAAAGCUCUUUCGGGUGUGAAGAUGAUGACGGUAGCACCAGAAGAAGCCCCGGCUAACUUCGUGCCAGCAGCCGCGGUAAUACGAAGGGGGCAAGCGUUGUUCGGAAUCACUGGGCGUAAAGAGCGCGUAGGCGGUCAGAUCAGUCAGAGGUGAAAGCCCAGGGCUCAACCCUGGAAAUGCCUUUGA
Molecule: ribosomal RNA, 275 nt
Filed under: uncultured Rhodospirillum sp.
Lineage: Bacteria; Pseudomonadati; Pseudomonadota; Alphaproteobacteria; Rhodospirillales; Rhodospirillaceae
Description: partial 16S ribosomal RNA
Rfam family: Bacterial small subunit ribosomal RNA
Source: RNAcentral